UACGUAGGGGGCAAGCGUUGUCCGGAUUCAUUGGGCGUAAAGAGCGUGUAGGCGGCCAGGUAGGUCGGUUGUGAAAACUGGAGGCUCAACCUUCAGAGGUCGACCGAAACCAUCUGGCUAGAGUCCGGGAGAGGAGAGUGGAAUUCCUGGUGUAGCGGUGAAAUGCGCAGAUAUCAGGAAGAACACCCGUGGCGAAAGCGGCUCUCUGGUACGGUACUGACGCUGAGACGCGAAAGCGUGGGGAGCGAACAGG
This 253-nucleotide ribosomal RNA is filed under the name uncultured bacterium. RNAcentral's name for it is "partial 16S ribosomal RNA". It matches the Rfam family "Bacterial small subunit ribosomal RNA", at positions 524 to 776 of the family's 1533-position model. The record is from RNAcentral.